AUCUUCAUCCUGCUUGGUCUGGCAGUCAUCAUUGCUGCAGACAGCCCAGAAAUUUUCGCUUAUGGACCUCCUCGGGGUUCCUCCGAAGAAUCAUUUGAGUCGUUUGAGUCAGGAGAAGCCAAGUACGACUUCAAUUAUGCCGUUCAGCACGAAGACUCUGGCAAUGACUUCGGCCACGAGGAAGCUCGUGACGGAGACCACACUCAGGGAUCCUACUACGUGAGGCUUCCCGAUACCCGUCUGCAGAACGUCAAGUACGUCGUAGACGGUGACGACGGCUACGUGGCCGAGGUGAACUACGAGGGCGAGGCCCGUUUCCCCGACUCGUAUGAGUCUGCUUCCUUUGAGUCUCGUGAAUAUAGUCCACCAAGGCCAGUCUACACCUAUGACUCAAACGAGUCUAAGUAAACUUUUAGAUUUUGGACUAAUGAAAAAA
This is a long non-coding RNA of Penaeus chinensis, 436 nucleotides long. RefSeq lists it as uncharacterized. The transcript is spliced from 2 exons. NCBI's taxonomy places the organism in Eukaryota, Metazoa, Arthropoda, Malacostraca, Decapoda, Penaeidae. The record is from RefSeq and is a predicted model, not a curated record.